CGUGAAGUAGCUCAGCGGUGAGAGCGGUGGCCUUAUAAGCCAUGUGUCGCAGGUUCGAUUCCUGCCUUCACGA
Molecule: transfer RNA, 73 nt
Filed under: Lachnospiraceae bacterium
Lineage: Bacteria; Bacillati; Bacillota; Clostridia; Lachnospirales; Lachnospiraceae
Description: tRNA-Ile
Rfam family: tRNA
About the family: Transfer RNA (tRNA) molecules are approximately 80 nucleotides in length.
Source: RNAcentral